Dipodomys ordii (Ord's kangaroo rat) is the source of this 69-nucleotide unclassified non-coding RNA. Ensembl annotates it as predicted gene, 27337. Lineage: Eukaryota; Metazoa; Chordata; Mammalia; Rodentia; Heteromyidae. The record is from Ensembl.
GAGAUAGAUGUGCGUGGCCAACUCGCUGGUCUUGUUAACAAGCUUCGUCAUAAAGAUGGAGAUGAUAAG